UUACUGAGUUACCGCUCUAUAACCCUUUGUGAACAUACCUAACCGUUGCUUCGGCGGGCAGGGGAAGCCUCUCGCGGGCCUCCCCUCCCGGCGCCGGCCCCCACCACGGGGACGGGGCGCCCGCCGGAGGAAACCAAACUCUAUUUACACGACGUCUCUUCUGAGUGGCACAAGCAAAUAAUUAAAACUUUUAACAACGGAUCUCUUGGUUCUGGCAUCGAUGAAGAACGCAGCGAAAUGCGAUAAGUAAUGUGAAUUGCAGAAUUCAGUGAAUCAUCGAAUCUUUGAACGCACAUUGCGCUCGCCAGCAUUCUGGCGAGCAUGCCUGUUCGAGCGUCAUUUCAACCCUCAAGCACCGCUUGGUUUUGGGGCCCCACGGCACACGUGGGCCCUUAAAGGUAGUGGCGGACCCUCCCGGAGCCUCCUUUGCGUAGUAACUAACGUCUCGCACUGGGAUCCGGAGGGACUCUUGCCGUAAAACCCCCAAAUUCUUUACAGGUUGACCUCGGAUCAGGUAGGAAUACCCGCUGAACUUAAGCAUAUCAAUAAGCGA
RNAcentral lists this ribosomal RNA (553 nucleotides) under Colletotrichum acutatum. RNAcentral's name for it is "eukaryotic LSU rRNA". The stretch from base 186 to 339 matches the Rfam family "5.8S ribosomal RNA". The record is from RNAcentral. Lineage: Eukaryota; Fungi; Ascomycota; Sordariomycetes; Glomerellales; Glomerellaceae.